Molecule: long non-coding RNA, 348 nt
Filed under: Monodelphis domestica (gray short-tailed opossum)
Lineage: Eukaryota; Metazoa; Chordata; Mammalia; Didelphimorphia; Didelphidae
Description: lncRNA (ENSMODG00000030897.2)
Source: RNAcentral
UGACACUUGUAUAAUGUUUUCAAAUUGGUGAAUUACUUUUUGGAUAUUUCAUUUGAUCCUUCAGCAAUUCUAUGAAGUAGUAUUAUUAUUCUUAUUCCCAUUUUGAAGAUGAGAAAACUGAGACUCCAAGAGUUUAAGUGACAAGCCUUGAAUAAAAGAGACAGGAUUUGUCCUGUGAGGUGAAGAAACUUCAAGGAAGUGACUUGCCCGAUGAUGUGGUUUCCAAAUCCAAAAUUCAUAAUUUCAUUCACUGAUUAAUCUUCCCCAUCAAUGCACAAGUUUCAGUCAAGUAAAUAGAUCAAUUACCUGCUUCAAGAAAGGAUGCUUAAGUAAAGAGAAAGAAAAAAA